UACGUAGGGGGCAAGCGUUAUCCGGAAUUACUGGGUGUAAAGGGAGCGUAGACGGUGAUGUAAGUCUGGAGUGAAAGGCGGGGGCCCAACCCCCGGACUGCUCUGGAAACUAUAUGACUGGAGUGUCGGAGGGGUAAGCGGAAUUCCUGGUGUAGCGGUGAAAUGCGUAGAUAUCAGGAGGAACACCAGUGGCGAAGGCGGCUUACUGGACCGUAACUGACGUUGAGGCUCGAAAGCGUGGGGAGCAA
RNAcentral lists this ribosomal RNA (248 nucleotides) under uncultured Lachnospiraceae bacterium. Its description in RNAcentral is "partial 16S ribosomal RNA". It matches the Rfam family "Bacterial small subunit ribosomal RNA", at positions 524 to 771 of the family's 1533-position model. The record is from RNAcentral. Lineage: Bacteria; Bacillati; Bacillota; Clostridia; Lachnospirales; Lachnospiraceae.